Molecule: long non-coding RNA, 542 nt
Filed under: Anas platyrhynchos platyrhynchos (common mallard)
Lineage: Eukaryota; Metazoa; Chordata; Aves; Anseriformes; Anatidae
Description: lncRNA (ENSAPLG00000021560.1)
Source: RNAcentral
AAGCAGACCAAUGUGCAAUCUCUUAGAGCUCUGUAGGUGCUCUUAGAUAAUGUAAAAGCCUCAAAGAAAGAUAAAUGAAACUAGCCUUUUGGUGAGAAGGUCUUAAGAUUUUGGCAGAAUUUUAAAAAAUAUAUUUGAAGCCUCCAAUUCCUCUUCACUGUUACAGAUAAAGAAGAUAAACCCUUAACAGGAGAAGGGACUUUAACGAAGAAAGUUUUGGAAGAUACAAACUUGUCAGUACUUUCCUUUUUUCCAAUGUAAAAUAACUGCCCAGGAGCACCAGGAAUUUAAACACAACAAGUAUAUACUCCCCAAUGCAGCAAAUGGUCCUUAUUCAUACCCCUCCAGCUCUGUAGUAAUGAUGUCACUGAAUCAAUGUUCAAGAUUUGUUCUGAACAUGUCUUUGUCGGGGUAAUUAGCCUCCUUAUCAUCCACUCUUUGUAUUUUAAAUGGUUGUACUAAAUGGCUUUUGGGUAAUGUGGUUUCUGAUGCACCAUCAAGCGAAGAAUAAAGAUACAUUGCCUCAGUGAGAGUGUUUGACA